UACGGAGGGAGCUAGCGUUGUUCGGAAUUACUGGGCGUAAAGCGCACGUAGGCGGCUUUGUAAGUUAGAGGUGAAAGCCCGGGGCUCAACCCCGGAAUUGCCUUUAAGACUGCAUCGCUUGAAUCCAGGAGAGGUGAGUGGAAUUCCGAGUGUAGAGGUGAAAUUCGUAGAUAUUCGGAAGAACACCAGUGGCGAAGGCGGCUCACUGGAGCUGGUAUUGACGCUGAGGUGCGAAAGCGUGGGGAGCAAACAGG
RNAcentral lists this ribosomal RNA (254 nucleotides) under uncultured bacterium. Its description in RNAcentral is "partial 16S ribosomal RNA". It matches the Rfam family "Bacterial small subunit ribosomal RNA", at positions 524 to 776 of the family's 1533-position model. The record is from RNAcentral.